GGAUUUGAGGCGAUCUGGGCUUACAGUCUGGUCACCCCCAUUGAUCGCCAGGGUUGAUUCGGCUGAUUUUGCGCGCUAGGGCGGUGUCCCCUUCCUCCCUCACCGCUCCAUGUGCUCCCUUCCCGAAGCUGGCCGCGCUCGGUCGAAGAGGACGACCAUCCCCGAUAGAGGAGACUUCUUUCGGUCAAAGGGUACACGAGUAGCUCCGCCUUCCCCUGCUAGAACCUCGAAACCAAGCUCUCAAAACAAUGCCAAUGCAACUUCAUGUUUUUAAGUGGGAGAGUCAUGUU
Molecule: small nuclear RNA, 290 nt
Filed under: Castor canadensis (American beaver)
Lineage: Eukaryota; Metazoa; Chordata; Mammalia; Rodentia; Castoridae
Description: 7SK RNA (ENSCCNG00000020219.1)
Rfam family: 7SK RNA
About the family: 7SK was discovered as an abundant small nuclear RNA in the mid-70s but a possible function has only recently been suggested. Two independent studies have found that 7SK RNA binds the CDK9/cyclin T complex (known as elongation factor P-TEFb).
Source: Rfam by way of RNAcentral